Molecule: ribosomal RNA, 119 nt
Filed under: Triticum aestivum (bread wheat)
Lineage: Eukaryota; Viridiplantae; Streptophyta; Magnoliopsida; Poales; Poaceae
Source: RNAcentral
GGAUGCGAUCAUACCAGCACUAAAGCACCGGAUCCCAUCAGAACUCUGAAGUUAAGUGUGCUUGGGCGAGAGUAGUACUAGGAUGGGUGACCUCCUGGGAAGUCCUCCUGUUGCAUUCC